GCACCGUCGUUCUUCUCCGGUUUCGGGAAUCCGGUGCGAGUCCGGAGCGGUCCCGCCGCUGUCAUCCCUGCGCCUCGGGCGCCACGCCACAGCCAUGAAGCCACUGCCCCCUGCGGGCGGGAAGGCGGUUGUGAGUGGGGAGAGCCAGAAUACCGGGCCGGAGCAGUCUCGAUCCC
This 176-nucleotide non-coding RNA is filed under the name Nitratidesulfovibrio vulgaris. Lineage: Bacteria; Pseudomonadati; Thermodesulfobacteriota; Desulfovibrionia; Desulfovibrionales; Desulfovibrionaceae. The record is from RNAcentral.